AUUAAUGAAAAAGAGUUUUCAUGAGAAUCACACAUGGACUCGAGCUGAUUGAAUCUAUCAUAUGACUGAUGAUGAGAUUUGAUGAUUUAUUCAUGAUCUGCCAUCUGAUCAGAACUCAUGAUAGAGGGACUGUAUCAUGCGUUAACUACACCUAGAGGUUCAUCACCUUUUAUUCUGCUGGAUUAUCACUACAUACUGCU
RNAcentral lists this long non-coding RNA (200 nucleotides) under Elaeis guineensis (African oil palm). RNAcentral's name for it is "long non-coding RNA (EGUI_LNC061731)". Lineage: Eukaryota; Viridiplantae; Streptophyta; Magnoliopsida; Arecales; Arecaceae. The record is from RNAcentral.